AACGUACGCUGGCGGCACGCCUAACACAUGCAAGUCGAACGCAGUAGCAAUACUGAGUGGCAGACGGGUGAGUAACAUGUGGGAAUCUGCCUUGUGGUUCAGGACAACAUUGGGAAACCGAUGCUAAUACUGGAUAAGCCCUUACGGGGAAAGUUUUAAUGCCAUAAGAUGAGCCCGCAUUUGAUUAGUUAGUUGGUGAGGUAAUGGCUCACCAAGACUUUGAUUGGUAGGGGAACUGAGAGGUCAAUCCCCCACACUGGCACUGAGAUACGGGCCAGACUCCUACGGGAGGCAGCAGUAGGGAAUAUUGGGCAAUGGACGCAAGUCUGACCCAGCCAUGCCGCGUGCAGGAUGAAGGCGUUAUGCGUUGUAAACUGCUUUUAUACAGGAAGAAACGACUCUUGCGAGAGGCAUUGACGGUACUGUAUGAAUAAGCACCGGCUAACUCCGUGCCAGCAGCCGCGGU
This 466-nucleotide ribosomal RNA is filed under the name uncultured bacterium. RNAcentral describes it as "bacterial SSU rRNA". It matches the Rfam family "Bacterial small subunit ribosomal RNA", at positions 29 to 521 of the family's 1533-position model. The record is from RNAcentral.